This 87-nucleotide transfer RNA is filed under the name Gammaproteobacteria bacterium ESL0073. Its description in RNAcentral is "tRNA-Leu". It matches the Rfam family "tRNA". Rfam says of the family: Transfer RNA (tRNA) molecules are approximately 80 nucleotides in length. Their secondary structure includes four short double-helical elements and three loops (D, anti-codon, and T loops). RNAcentral also lists the same sequence under 3 other names. Lineage: Bacteria; Pseudomonadati; Pseudomonadota; Gammaproteobacteria. The record is from RNAcentral.
GCCUCGGUGGCGGAAUUGGUAGACGCGGCGGAUUCAAAAUCCGUUGUUAGCGAUAACGUGCGAGUUCGAGUCUCGCCCGAGGCACCA